RNAcentral lists this ribosomal RNA (480 nucleotides) under uncultured organism. RNAcentral's name for it is "partial 16S ribosomal RNA". It matches the Rfam family "Bacterial small subunit ribosomal RNA", at positions 330 to 801 of the family's 1533-position model. The record is from RNAcentral.
CGUACACUCCUACGGGAGGCAGCAGUGGGGAAUAUUGCACAAUGGGCGCAAGCCUGAUGCAGCCAUGCCGCGUGUAUGAAGAAGGCCUUCGGGUUGUAAAGUACUUUCAGCGGGGAGGAAGGCGAUAAGGUUAAUAACCUUGUCGAUUGACGUUACCCGCAGAAGAAGCACCGGCUAACUCCGUGCCAGCAGCCGCGGUAAUACGGAGGGUGCAAGCGUUAAUCGGAAUUACUGGGCGUAAAGCGCACGCAGGCGGUCUGUCAAGUCGGAUGUGAAAUCCCCGGGCUCAACCUGGGAACUGCAUUCGAAACUGGCAGGCUAGAGUCUUGUAGAGGGGGGUAGAAUUCCAGGUGUAGCGGUGAAAUGCGUAGAGAUCUGGAGGAAUACCGGUGGCGAAGGCGGCCCCCUGGACAAAGACUGACGCUCAGGUGCGAAAGCGUGGGGAGCAAACAGGAUUAGAAACCCCGGUAGUCCCAUGAU